This 250-nucleotide unclassified non-coding RNA is filed under the name Hevea brasiliensis (rubber tree). Lineage: Eukaryota; Viridiplantae; Streptophyta; Magnoliopsida; Malpighiales; Euphorbiaceae. The record is from RNAcentral.
UGCCACGUGAGCAAACACUCUCCGAAAUCCACUCAAUUUCGCCACUCUGAAGUUGAUCAGAUCCGGGAAUGUACUCCGAGCACUCCUCUCUGAGAGGAGAGAACCGAACCCGCAAAUGGUGAUAAGUCCAUCGGAUGAUACAAUUCGAUCAAAAUCAGAUUCAUCGGCAAGUUCCAACGGGAAUUUCAGCUCGUCGCCAUCGACGGGGAAAUCGGCUGAGCCGGCGGAAGGCAUGGUGAAUUUUCGCGGG